RNAcentral lists this ribosomal RNA (433 nucleotides) under uncultured bacterium. RNAcentral's name for it is "partial 16S ribosomal RNA". It matches the Rfam family "Bacterial small subunit ribosomal RNA", at positions 29 to 507 of the family's 1533-position model. The record is from RNAcentral.
AACGAACGCUGGCGGCAUGCCUAACACAUGCAAGUCGAACGAGACCUUCGGGUCUAUUGGCGCACGGGUGCGUCACGCGUGGGAACCUUCCCUUAGGUUCGGAAUAACUCCCCGAAAGGGGUGCUAAUACCGGAUAAUUUCUUCGGACCAAAGAUUUAUCGCCUUUGGAUGGGCCCGCGUUGGAUUAGCUAGUUGGUAGGGUAAAAGCCUACCACGGCGACGAUCCAUAGCUGGUCUGAGAGGAGGAUCAGCCACACUGGGACUGAGACACGGCCCAGACUCCUACGGGAGGCAGCAGUGGGGAAUAUUGGACAAUGGGCGAAAGCCUGAUCCAGCUAUGCCGCGUGAGUGAUGAAGGCCUUAGGGUUGUAAAGCUCUUUUAACCGGGAUGAUAAUGACAGUACCGGGAGAAUAAGCCCCGGCUAACUCCGUG